UGAACGCUGGCGGCGUGCCUAAUACAUGCACGUCGAGCGAACAGACGAGGAGCUUGCUCCUCUAACGUUAGCGGCGGACGGGUGAGUAACACGUGGAUAACCUACCUAUAAGACUGGGAUAACUUCGGGAAACCGGAGCUAAUACCGGAUAAUAUAUUGAACCGCAUGGUUCAAUAGUGAAAGACGGUUUUGCUGUCACUUAUAGAUGGAUCCGCGCCGCAUUAGCUAGUUGGUAAGGUAACAGCUUACCAAGGCAACGAUGCGUAGCCGACCUGAGAGGGUGAUCGGCCACACUGGAACUGAGACACGGUCCAGACUCCUACGGGAGGCAGCAGUAGGGAAUCUUCCGCAAUGGGCGAAAGCCUGACGGAGCAACGCCGCGUGAGUGAUGAAGGUCUUCGGAUCGUAAAACUCUGUUAUUAGGGAAGAACAAAUGUGUAAGUAACUAUGCACGUCUUGACGGUACCUAAUCAGAAAGCCACGGCUAACUACGUG
Molecule: ribosomal RNA, 495 nt
Filed under: uncultured bacterium
Lineage: Bacteria
Description: partial 16S ribosomal RNA
Rfam family: Bacterial small subunit ribosomal RNA
Source: RNAcentral